AGUCACUGACAUUAGACUACCCGGUAGUCCAGGGUGUAAACGCUGCAGACUUGGUGUUGGAAGUCCUUUGGGGGCAUUCAGUGCCGGAGAGAAGUUGUUAAGUCUGCUACUUGGGGAGUACGUCCGCAAGGAUGAAAACUUAAAGGAAUUGGCGGGGGAGCACCGCAACGGGAGGAGCGUGCGGUUUAAUUGGAUUCAACACCGUAAAACUCACCAGGGAAGACUGUUACAUGAAGGCCGAGAUGAAGACUCUGCUAGAUUUUCAG
RNAcentral lists this ribosomal RNA (266 nucleotides) under uncultured archaeon. Its description in RNAcentral is "partial 16S ribosomal RNA". It matches the Rfam family "Archaeal small subunit ribosomal RNA", at positions 718 to 982 of the family's 1478-position model. The record is from RNAcentral.